Molecule: unclassified non-coding RNA, 224 nt
Filed under: Hevea brasiliensis (rubber tree)
Lineage: Eukaryota; Viridiplantae; Streptophyta; Magnoliopsida; Malpighiales; Euphorbiaceae
Source: RNAcentral
CGAUUCUCUUCUCCCUCUAUAAAUUAACUCCGCUCUCUAUCAAACUCGGCUUCUCAAAUCUUUCCAUCUUUCGGUUACUUGAGGUUUUAUCAGGGUUUUAUCUCAAAUUAAACCCUGAUUCCAGCCCUACAUCCGUGAACAUACCCCCUUAUUAACCUUUCUUUCCUCGACGUUUCUCAUUUCCUCUUCCCCUAGGGUUCUUUUGGUGAUCGAUUGCGGCUAGA